Molecule: ribosomal RNA, 490 nt
Filed under: uncultured bacterium
Lineage: Bacteria
Description: partial 16S ribosomal RNA
Rfam family: Bacterial small subunit ribosomal RNA
Source: RNAcentral
AUUGAACGCUGGCGGCAGGCCUAACACAUGCAAGUCGAACGGUAACAGGAAGAAGCUUGCUUCUUUGCUGACGAGUGGCGGACGGGUGAGUAAUGUCUGGGAAACUGCCUGAUGGAGGGGGAUAACUACUGGAAACGGUAGCUAAUACCGCAUAACGUCGCAAGACCAAAGAGGGGGACCUUCGGGCCUCUUGCCAUCGGAUGUGCCCAGAUGGGAUUAGCUAGUAGGUGGGGUAACGGCUCACCUAGGCGACGAUCCGUAGCUGGUCUGAGAGGAUGAUCAGCCACACUGGAACUGAGACACGGUCCAGACUCCUACGGGAGGCAGCAGUGGGGAAUAUUGCACAAUGGGCGCAAGCCUGAUGCAGCCAUGCCGCGUGUAUGAAGAAGGCCUUCGGGUUGUAAAGUACUUUCAGCGGGGAGGAAGGGAGGAAAGUUAAUACCUUGGCUCAUUGACGUUACCCGCAGAAGAAGCACCGGCUAACUCCGUG